Molecule: long non-coding RNA, 2034 nt
Filed under: Nicotiana tabacum (common tobacco)
Lineage: Eukaryota; Viridiplantae; Streptophyta; Magnoliopsida; Solanales; Solanaceae
Description: long non-coding RNA (NTAB_LNC014907)
Source: RNAcentral
AUGAUCCAACGGCUGAGAACUAACCCUUCCCCCUCUUAUAAAUAUCCAAACGGACCCACUAAACCCCAUUACCCUCUCAUUUCAUCUCCUUGCCGUCACAUUACCUAACCCUAGCCGCCCCUAAACGCCAAACCUUAUCGGCCGGCGGCGCCACUCCAAACACCUUCAUCUUUUAACCAGGCAACCACCAUAACCCCAUCGUCCUAUAUCUAUUACCAAUUGCUCCAAAACCCAUACCCAUUUGCUCAAAUUUUAGAUCUAGGUUCUGAAAAAAGACCAACCCUAAACUGUCCUUUCUCUUUUGGUUUUUGGGGGUUUCAUGGUUCGAUUGAGACAAACGUCAUGCCAAUCGAUCGAUUGGCACUAGUUUUGGCUUAUUUCGAGGCCAUCAAACCCCGACCAGGUCAACGCUGACCGGCCAAGUUUCGACAGAUACCCUUGCCCUUUGAUCUACCUUAUUUGUUCAAGUUUUGCCGGCCAAAAAUCAGGUUGUUUCUGCUUCUUCUCUAUUUCUCUUUAGUUAACUGUUCUGUUUUUUUAUUUAUAAUUUAGGCAUCAUUUCUUGUUUAUUUUGUAGGUUUGUUUGAAUUUAAAUAAAAUAAGUUACUUAGUUAAUUGUUGUCAUUUAAAAUUACUUCGAUGCAUUUUAGGAUCAUUAGGUCGGGUUACUUUUAAUUAAGGUUUGUUUUUCUUCGAUUGGUUACCUCUGAUUUGGGGCUGCAUGGUUUAAUAUUUCUUUCUUUGCCUUUUAAUUGUUACUUUCAGAACUUGAACAUAGGUUUUAAUAAUCCCCCUUUUAAACUCAUGCUAAUAUUAGAUUUAAAGCUUUCAUCCGUAUUUGUUUCAUUUCUGUUAAAUUAGGGUUAAAUUAUUUCUUCUGUAUUUGUUUCAUUUUUUGGAUUCUGCUCAUGCAAAUUGAUUUUAUUUUCUUAGUUUCAAGUUUUUUCGCUCAAAUAGUCUCUUCUUUGAUCUUUUCGUAUAUAUUGAUUUUGGCCUUAAGAUGUUGGUUCUGAUUUAUUCACAAUUAGGAACCCUAGGGACCUAAGUGAACAAAGAAAUUUUGAGUAGAGGCUGUAAGCAAGCUUUAGAAGGGAAUUUGAGGUUUUUCCAAUUUUGAAAAUAUCAGAACACUCUAGAAGAAGAGGCAGUUGGCCUCAUUUGGUUAGUACAAACGUACUGAAACCAAUGGGAAAAAACCAGUUGUCCAAGUUGGUUGGAAUAUGCUUUUUGUGGCUGGGGAAUAAUCCCUCCAGCACAUGGCAUCUUUGGUACCUAUAUAUGGUACCAUAUCCAUACAGAAAAAUCAGAUUAUAUUAACAUAAAAAACUCUAAAAGUUCCCUGCACAUUUUCAUUCUAAGUUCAUUCAAAAAAGCAUACUAGUUCUCUUUUAAAAAAGGGGUUCUAUUUCAUCAGUUUUUCUGGGGUUCUAAGGGUGAAGUAGAGUUGGUUAUUUGAAGCUGUGGUUUAUGUUACUGUGUUGGUGUUGUUGUCUUCUGCGGAUUUUCUCUUGUUUUGACACUCAAAAUUUUCCUUUGUUUUUGCUGUUGUAACCAGGUACUGCACCAAACCAUUGAAAUACAAAGCUGAAACUUGUUUGGUUGGAUGAUUGAAGUUGUGGAUCUAUAUUUCUUCUUUUAUCUAGAACACUAUUUGGUUCUUCUUCCUGUUUUAUUUCUUUCUCUUCAUCUAUUUAAAUUCUCAUGUCAUUAUGUAAAAAUUGAUGCCUAUUUUUGUUCAGUUGUUGAGCUAAAGGUUAGCAAUAAGAACUUCAUGUGUACUUAAAAACUGGACUCUUAUUUGAAAGAUUGCAUAUGUGGGACUAUUUAUUUUUUUUAGAUAAACAUAUUAGUAUAAGUAUGAUGAAAUGUCAGUACUACAACUAGAUUUCUUAUUCAUUAGCAUGACUGUAAUAUACACGAUACCUGGAAGCUUUGAAAAUUCUGAUUUAGAAUGAAGAUUUCAAUUGAAAAUUCCUUUGCACAUUCUGCAAAUAAGAGUUAGUCUCUUUAUAAGAAAAGGAUACAACCAUUUGG